AGCUCCAAUAGCGUAUAUUACACGUGUUGCGGUUAAAAAGCUCGUAGUUGGAUUUCUGCCGAGGACGAUCGGUCCGCCCUCUGGGUGAGUAUCUGGCUCGCCCUUGGCAUCUUUCUGGAGAACGUACCUGCACUUGACUCUGUGACGCGGUAUCCAGGACUUUCACUUUGAGGACGUUAGAAUGUUUCAAGCAGGCGCACGCCUUGAAUACAUUAGCAUGGAAUAAUAAGAUAGGACCUCGGUUCUAUUUUGUUGGUUUCUAGAGCUGAGAUGAUGAUUAAUAGGGAUAGUUGGGGCCAUUCGUAUUUAUUUGUCAGAGGUGGAAUUCUUGGAUUUGUUAAAGACGGACUACUGCGAAAGCAUUUGCCAAGGAUGUUUUCA
Molecule: ribosomal RNA, 381 nt
Filed under: uncultured eukaryote
Lineage: Eukaryota
Description: SSU rRNA
Rfam family: Eukaryotic small subunit ribosomal RNA
Source: RNAcentral